RNAcentral lists this ribosomal RNA (2702 nucleotides) under Clostridioides difficile. Its description in RNAcentral is "bacterial LSU rRNA". It matches the Rfam family "Bacterial large subunit ribosomal RNA". The record is from RNAcentral. Lineage: Bacteria; Bacillati; Bacillota; Clostridia; Peptostreptococcales; Peptostreptococcaceae.
UGGUCAAGUUAUUAAGGGUGCAGGGCGGAUGCCUUGGCACUAGGAGCCGAUGAAGGACGUGAUAAGCUGCGAUAAGCUUCGGGGAGUUGCACGUAAACUUUGAUCCGAAGAUUUCCGAAUGAGGAAACUCACUUAGAGUAAUGUCUAAGUAUCAUUAAGUGAAUACAUAGCUUAAUGAGGGGAACUCAGGGAACUGAAACAUCUAAGUACCUGAAGGAAGAGAAAGAAAUUCGAUUCCGUAAGUAGCGGCGAGCGAACGCGGAUUAGCCCAAACCAAUAAAGUUUUCUUUAUUGGGGUUGCGGACAUAUCAUAACGAAGAGGUAUCGUAAUUGAAGAGGUUUGGAAAGACCCACCACAGAAGGUAAUAGUCCUGUAUGUUAAACGAGAAGACUUUAGAUAUGAUCCAGAGUACCACGGGACACGUGAAACCCUGUGGGAAGCAGGAGGGACCACCCUCCAAGGCUAAAUACUACCUAGUGACCGAUAGCGUAUAGUACCGUGAGGGAAAGGUGAAAAGAACCCCGGGAGGGGAGUGAAAUAGAACCUGAAACCCUGCACUUACAAGCUGUGGAAGCACAUUUCUUGUGUGACCGCGUACUUUUUGUAGAACGGGCCAACGAGUUACGUUAAGUAGCAAGGUUAAGCACUUAAGGUGCGGAGCCGUAGCGAAAGCGAGUUUUAACUGAGCGUUCAGUUACUUGACGUAGACCCGAAACCGGGCGACCUACCCAUGAGCAGGAUGAAGCGAAAGUAAAAUUUCGUGGAGGUCCGAACCCACGAGCGUUGAAAAGCUCGGGGAUGACUUGUGGGUAGCGGUGAAAUUCCAAUCGAGCCCGGAGAUAGCUGGUUCUCCCCGAAAUAGCUUUAGGGCUAGCCUCAAGGUGAGAGAUACGGAGGUAGAGCACUGAAUGUCCUAGGGGGUAUUGCACCUACCGAAGACUAUCAAACUCCGAAUGCCGUCAUCUUAUACUUGGGAGUCAGACUGUGGGUGAUAAGAUUCAUAGUCGAAAGGGCAACAGCCCAGAUCGUCAGCUAAGGUCCCUAAAUGUAAGUUAAGUGGUAAAGGAUGUGGGAUUGCACAGACAACCAGGAUGUUGGCUUAGAAGCAGCCACUCAUUCAAAGAGUGCGUAAUAGCUCACUGGUCGAGUGAUCCUGCGCCGAAGAUUUCCGGGGCUAAAACUUACUACCGAAGCUACGGCAUCAGUAAUGAUGGGUAGGGGAGCUUCCCAUACGGGUUGAAGCAUGACCGUAAGGACAUGUGGACAGUAUGGGAGUGAGAAUGUUGGCAUGAGUAGCGAGAUGUGGGUGAGAAUCCCACAGGCCGUAAACCCAAGGUUUCCAGGGGAAGGUUCGUCCGCCCUGGGUUAGUCGGGACCUAAGCUGAGGCCGAAAGGCGUAGGUGAUGGACAACAGGUUGAUAUUCCUGUACUACCGAUAACCGUUUGAGAGAAGGGAUGACACAGUAGGAUAAGCUAAGCACACUGUUGGUUAUGUGUGCCCAAGCAUUGAGGCAGUCAAAGUAGGCAAAUCCGCUUUGAUAAUGCUGGGAUGUGAUGGGGAGCGAAAUUUAGUAGCGAAGUAGCUGAUUUCACACUGUCAAGAAAAGUCUCUAUCGAGGUUAAAGGUACCCGUACCGCAAACCGACACAGGUGGGUGAGGAGAGUAUCCUAAGGCCAGCGAGAGAACUGUUGUUAAGGAACUCGGCAAAAUGACCCCGUAACUUAGGGAUAAGGGGUGCCACCAUCAGGUGGCCGCAGAGAAUAGGCCCAAGCGACUGUUUACCAAAAACAUAGGUUUCUGCUAAGUCGCAAGACGAUGUAUAGGAGCUGACGCCUGCCCGGUGCUGGAAGGUUAAGGGGAUCUGUUAGAGCAAUCGAAGCAGUGAACUUAAGCCCCAGUAAACGGCGGCCGUAACUAUAACGGUCCUAAGGUAGCGAAAUUCCUUGUCGGGUAAGUUCCGACCCGCACGAAAGGCGUAACGAUUUGGGCACUGUCUCAACAACAGACUCGGUGAAAUUGUAAUUCCGGUGAAGAUGCCGGAUACCUGCGACAGGACGGAAAGACCCCAUGGAGCUUUACUGUAGCUUGACAUUGGGUCUUGGUACUACAUGUACAGGAUAGGUGGGAGGCUUUGAAACCAGGACGCCAGUUUUGGCGGAGCCAUCCUUGGGAUACCACCCUUGUAGUACUGGGACUCUAACCAUAGGCCAUGAAUCUGGUCUUGGGACACUGUCAGGUGGGCAGUUUGACUGGGGCGGUCGCCUCCCAAAAGGUAACGGAGGCGCUCAAAGGUUCUCUCAGUACGGUCGGAAAUCGUACGUAGAGUGUAAAGGCAAAAGAGAGCUUGAUUGCAAGACAUACAGGUCGAGCAAGGAUGAAAAUCGGACUUAGUGAUCCGGUGGUUCUGCGUGGAAGGGCCAUCGCUCAACGGAUAAAAGCUACCCUGGGGAUAACAGGCUUAUCUCCCCCAAGAGUCCACAUCGACGGGGAGGUUUGGCACCUCGAUGUCGGCUCAUCACAUCCUGGGGCUGUAGUAGGUCCCAAGGGUUGGGCUGUUCGCCCAUUAAAGUGGUACGCGAGCUGGGUUCAGAACGUCGUGAGACAGUUCGGUCCCUAUCCGUCGCAGGCGUAGGAAAUUUGAGAAGACCUGUCCUUAGUACGAGAGGACCGGGAUGGACGUACCUCUGGUGUACCAGUUGU